Long non-coding RNA from Onychostoma macrolepis, 377 nucleotides. RefSeq lists it as uncharacterized. The record is from RefSeq and is a predicted model, not a curated record. The transcript has 3 exons. NCBI's taxonomy places the organism in Eukaryota, Metazoa, Chordata, Actinopteri, Cypriniformes, Cyprinidae.
CUUAAACUCCGUGGACAAAGCAGUACUGCGAUUAAGAAUACUUCCUUUAGGUAUUACAUGGAGCGAAGAUGAAAACAAAAUGCCAUCGAAUCGUUUCUGAAGACAGUCAGAAUCUUCAGAGGAGCAUCGGAAUUUUGGCCCCUUACCCCCAGAAUGCAGCGUAAGCUGUUACCAAAGAGAGAGACAGACGUGCACUGCAGGUGGAGUGAGAGGAAGCAAUGAAGAGAGAGGAAAAGAAGAAAAACUCAUGCGGGAAUAAGGCUGGAAAAACCCGACAAAGUCAUGCUGAGAGGUCCGGCUGGAGUGGACAGACCUGCUCUGCACUCAUUAAAGCAGCUAAGCACCACCUGCGCUCUGCUCUCAAAGCUCACUAGACU